CCGAGUUAGGGUCGCCCCCGCGCGCCCGACCUCCAACCCUUUGUCUACCUGACCAACAUGUUGCUUCGGCAGGCCCGCCGACCCCCCUUCGCGGGGGGGAGGCCGCCGGGGGUCUCACGACCCCGGGCCCGCGCCUGUCGACGGCCCCAAAUUAAAACUCUUGUUAAAAACCGUGUCGUCUGAGUACCACAUUUUAAUCAAAUUA
RNAcentral lists this unclassified non-coding RNA (205 nucleotides) under uncultured Phialophora. RNAcentral describes it as "sequence contains ITS1". The record is from RNAcentral. Lineage: Eukaryota; Fungi; Ascomycota; Leotiomycetes.